ACCUGUCUGGCUUACUCUGUAGAGCAUGUGACUCUGAAUCUCAGGGCUGUGGGUUUGAGCCUCAUGUUGGGCA
This 73-nucleotide transfer RNA is filed under the name Felis catus (domestic cat). It matches the Rfam family "tRNA". From Rfam's summary of the family: Transfer RNA (tRNA) molecules are approximately 80 nucleotides in length. Their secondary structure includes four short double-helical elements and three loops (D, anti-codon, and T loops). The record is from Rfam by way of RNAcentral. Lineage: Eukaryota; Metazoa; Chordata; Mammalia; Carnivora; Felidae.